CACGCAUGACACACUGCAUAUCAAUAAGCGGAGGAAAAGAAACUAACAAGGAUUCCCCUAGUAACGGCGAGUGAAGCGGGAAGAGCUCAAAUUUGAAAUCUUAAAGGGUUUCCCUUGACGAAUUGUAGUUUUAAAGAAGUGUUUUCUGUUAGAGAGGUUCGGUAAAAGUUCUUUGGAAUAGGACAUCAUAGAGGGUGAGAAUCCCGUAUUUGAUCCAUUAUUUCCUAACUGUGUGAUACACUUUCAAAGAGUCGGAUUGUUUGGGAAUGCAGUCCAAAAUGGGUGGUAAAUUUCAUCUAAAGCUAAAUAUUGGCGAGAGACCGAUAGCGAACAAGUACCGUGAGGGAAAGAUGAAAAGAACUUUGAAAAGAGAGUUAAACAGUACGUGAAAUUGUCAAAAGGGAAGCGUUUGACACCAGUGUUGUUUUCUCGAAAAUCAAUUAAAAAUGAUGGGAUUUUGUGUUGUAUUGACUUUAUCAGCUUUCUGCACUUUUUUCUUAUCUUUUUUAAUGCACUUUUCGUUUAACAAGUCAACAUCGAUUUCUUUUGUUGUAAAAGGGUCAUUGGAAGGUGGCUUUCUUUUCGGAGAAAGUGUUUAUAGCCUUUGAUCUCUGCAACCGGAGAGACUGAGGUCUGCAGCGUAGACUCUUCGGGGUUAGAUACAUUUGUGCUAAGCUAUAGCUUUUUAUAGACAACUUGUUGACUAUAUUUAGUCUUGUGGCUUACUCGCUUAUGCUAUUUUACCUACGCUUAGGAUGUUGAGUCGUAGAGCACGCAG
Molecule: ribosomal RNA, 778 nt
Filed under: uncultured Neocallimastigales
Lineage: Eukaryota; Fungi; Neocallimastigomycota; Neocallimastigomycetes; Neocallimastigales
Description: partial large subunit ribosomal RNA
Rfam family: Eukaryotic large subunit ribosomal RNA
Source: RNAcentral